This 2457-nucleotide long non-coding RNA is filed under the name Salmo salar (Atlantic salmon). RNAcentral's name for it is "lncRNA (ENSSSAG00000108721.1)". The record is from RNAcentral. Lineage: Eukaryota; Metazoa; Chordata; Actinopteri; Salmoniformes; Salmonidae.
AGGGAGGCAGCACCGGGGCAGAAACCACCUUACACUGCCCAGCCCCCCGCUCACCAUCACACCCCCCGAAAGUAUCAGCACCCGUCCUCCACUCCCGACACACUCACACUCUCUCUUUCCCUUGCCCUGUGCCUGUCUCUCUCCAUUCUACCAAGUAGCCGGCCAGACCUUUUCUCUCUCUCUCUCUCUCUCUCUCGCACUCUCUCUCCUGCCCUGUCGACAUCCAUCGAGCGUUCCACGCCUUUCUCCCUCAGCUUCCAAAGCCGUGCUGUCUACCGUUACUGCUGCUGUCCGUCCGUGUCUCUAUCUGCAACAAGUUCCCUGGGACAUUUUUGGAAACUUUUUUUCCUCAAGACAUUUCUUUUUUUGCUAUCUCCCUGGAGACGCCAGUGCAUGUGGUGCUGUGUGUGAAAGGGUCUAGUGUUGCUCUUUCCUGGGGGUCUCUGUACACCAUUAACCAGAGGAGAAGAUUACUUGACAUCAUGAUCAAAGUUCAGCUGCUGCUUCUGCUGGCCCUGGUCGGCCCCCUCUGUGCCGUCGCACACGCAAGCACACUGGUGACACCAGUAGAGCUGGUGACAGAUUCCCCUGCUGUUCCCGAGGCCACUGAGGCCCUCAAAGAGGAAGAUCCCGUAGUCACCCAUGCCCCUUCGGCUGAACCCGAGGCUGCGGCCGAGGAUGUCGUAACGGACACCCCUGCCGCCGAGGAUGUCGUAACGGACACCCCUGCCGCCGAGGAUGUCGUAACGGACACCCCUGCCGGAGAAGAAACCGCCGCUACUGAGGCUGCUGCCACGGACGUCGCUCCCGUGGAGACCGAAGCCCCUGCCCCUACCACUGAAGCUGCCAAGCAGGAGGCGGCCACAACUAACGCCCCUGCCAUCAUCACCGAGGCCACGACAGCUGCAGAGGCUAAGGAGGAGGUGGAGGAGCCAGAGGAGGGUAUGGGCUCUGGACAAGUGGUUGGUAUUGGGAUUGGUGCAUUGGUGGCAGUGAUCGUUGUCAUCGCCGUGGUGAUCGCCGUGGUGAGGAGAAUGGGUAAAUAUUCCCCCUGAGGAGAAAGGCUGCAAGACAGGAAGUCCCCAAAACGUUCUGGCAAUUCUGAUCUAUGUAAUUUCCUGUCAUUAAACAAGCAUUCUACCAGCACUCUAACUUAACCAGGAUCUUGGACUGUUGACAAAAGGAGGGGAAGGUGUGUGGGGGAGGAUGUUUGCCCACCUCUCCUCUUCUCCCCCAACCCCAAGACAGGGCCAUUGACAUCAGCGGUCCUGUACAACCACACAGCAACCCCCCAUACCAACAACCAAACUGAAAAAAAGGUUGCCCACAGGAUGUCACAUUGAAUUUCAGGGUCUUUCAUUUGGAUUUGUAAAAAUAAGUAAGGGAUUAUCUCACUUGUGGUAGAAAACGCUCUCUCUUAUGCAAGGGUGUGUACAUUAACACAGAUGUGCAUUUGAGUUGGUGAAGAGGACCUAUACAAGAAAAAAAUGGGAAUAUGGAAAAAAGGAGACGGGAGAGAAUGUUGUGAAUUCCAUAGGGUGUAUAUACCAUGCAAAGGGACUAUAGUUAUUACUUUAUCAUAUGUUGCAGUUGCUCACUAUAGCAUUCAGUAUAUGGAACAUUGCAAAGCAGCCAAAGGCUAUUGUGGCCAAUGAACCGAACUGAAAAUCCCUCAGAAAAACCAACCACAUUAGUAUUUUGUCACCUUAACACCUAGCCAAUGAGUCCCUCACUACAGAAAUGUUCCAACAACUAUAUGAAGCACUGAAUGCAGAAGUUGAUUUGACAUUGUGCUCAUGUUCUGAGGGUUAGCGAGGGGCUAAUGAAAAGACGGCUCAUUUGCAAGUGUAACGUGACAUUCUGCCAGCUUUAACACUGACAUAAAAACCUAGUACAUAUCUGUGAAAUUUAGCAGAAGGGUUUGUGCCACUGUCUCUGGUAUUCCCUGGAUAGUUUGGAGAUGUUACUAUUGAAGUACAUUAAUGUGAAUUGACUGUACUUUAACUGCCACCCAUUCCAAUAGGACAGUUUUGACGACUUCAGGUUUUCACCCAAAAAUGUGUUCCAUGUACAGGUAGUGGUUAUUAGCCCCCAUUCUGCUAGCAUUAUCUUUUAUAAUGUAUCCACCGUACUUCUGCUUACUUUAGUUGGGAUAGAGUAUACCAAGCAAAAAUACACACACAUUUUCUUCAUAAUCGUUAGUAGUCAUUAAUGGGUGUAAAAAUCAUUCAGUCUCAGCUUAGCUCCGCUUGCUUUAAGAACUCAGUUAAUAAGUGCACUGAAUGAGUGAUGAUAAUUGUUUAAUGAAUCCGCUUUAGACACUGCAAUCGUUUGCGACGACAUUUGUUCUCCGCUUUUGCUCCAUAUUAUCAACAAGUCCUUCAAGUCCUUUUAUUUAAUUGCAGUGUGUUUGUUCAUACUGUUUCAAUAAAAAAGUGAAAACACUCCACAAAUAUA